Molecule: non-coding RNA, 238 nt
Organism: Pelobates cultripes (western spadefoot toad)
Lineage: Eukaryota; Metazoa; Chordata; Amphibia; Anura; Pelobatidae
Source: the annotation of a GenBank genome assembly
UGAACCUCUGUUUUUAAUCUUUCAAGAUUCUUUUCUUUCAGGAAGUGUUCCGGAGGAUUGGAGGAAGGCAGAUGUGGUUCCUAUAUUCAAAAAGGUUUCAAAAUCCUUGCCUGGAAAUUAUAGACCUGUGAGCUUAACUUCUGUGGCUGGUAAAAUAUUUGAAAGGUUAUUAAGGGAUAAUAUUCAAGAAUUCCUUGAGAAGAACAUGGUUAUCAGCAAAAAUCAGCAUGGUUUUAUG